CCUACGGGUGGCAGCAGUGAGGAAUAUUGGUCAAUGGGCUUACGCCUGAACCAGCCAAGUCGCGUGAGGGAAGACUGCCCUAUGGGUUGUAAACCUCUUUUGUCAGGGAGCAACGCCGGCUACGUGUAGCCGCACUGAGAGUACCUGGAGAAAAAGCAUCGGCUAACUCCGUGCCAGCAGCCGCGGUAAUACGGAGGAUGCGAGCGUUAUCCGGAUUUAUUGGGUUUAAAGGGUGCGUAGGCGGAAUGCCAAGUCAGCGGUAAAAUCGCGGGGCUCAACCUCGCUCCGCCGUUGAAACUGGCGUUCUUGAGUGGGCGAGAAGUAUGUGGAAUGCGUGGUGUAGCGGUGAAAUGCAUAGAUAUCACGCAGAACUCCGAUUGCGAAGGCAGCAUACCGGCGUCCAACUGACGCUGAAGCACGAAAGCGUGGGGAUCGAACAGGAUUAGAUACCCCAGUAGUC
RNAcentral lists this ribosomal RNA (460 nucleotides) under uncultured bacterium. RNAcentral's name for it is "partial 16S ribosomal RNA". It matches the Rfam family "Bacterial small subunit ribosomal RNA", at positions 338 to 795 of the family's 1533-position model. The record is from RNAcentral.